CCAGGGGUAAUGACUUUGAUAUCUUAUUUGAAGAUAGAAAUACUGGAUUCUACUAAGGAAAUUGGUAUUAACUAGAAGAUGGCUAAAUUACUGGUCUUAGAGCCUACUACCUAUGGACAUCAAAUUGAUGUUGUGCCAUUUCUCUCCUGGAGGCAAUUUUUGAGAUCAUAAAAGUGUGCAAGGGACAUGAAAAUGGGGCCUAGAUGAUUUGGAACUGACAGAAUUUUCAGCUCAUGGAUACUGAGAAAGAACAGAAGCUGUUGGUAUCAAUGGCUGUUUGUUUUUGUGACACUUUGAGUAAUAAAAGC
RNAcentral lists this long non-coding RNA (308 nucleotides) under Canis lupus familiaris (dog). RNAcentral describes it as "lncRNA (ENSCAFG00000043345.2, ENSCAFG00845012407.1)". Lineage: Eukaryota; Metazoa; Chordata; Mammalia; Carnivora; Canidae. The record is from RNAcentral.